AUGGCAGCUCCGAGAGCACUCGUCCUCGCCGUCCUGCUGGCGGUCGCCGUUGCCAACGCCGAGGCGGUGUCCGUCGUCGUCGGCCUGGCCAAGUGCGCUGACUGCACCAUGAAGAACAUCAAGGCCGAGGAAGCCUUCAAGGGUCUUCAGGUGGCGAUCAAGUGCAAGAACAACGCUGGUGACUACGAGAGCAAGGCGGUGGGUGCCCUCGACGGCACCGGUGCCUUCAGCGUGCCCCUCGCCGCCGACCUCCACGGCGCCGACUGCGUUGCACAGCUCCACAGCGCCGCCUCCAACGCGCCAUGCUCGGGCCAGGAGCCAUCCAAGAUCGUACCGGUGUCUGAGGGCACCACCUUCGGUGUCGUCGCCGGCGCCAAGACAGACACGGUGGCAUCGCCAGAGUGCGCGUCCGCAACCCUGUGCGGGCCGAUCAAGAAGCACAUCAUCGAGCACUUCCAUCACAAGAAGCCCGUGCCGCCCAAGCCGGAGCCCAAGCCCCAGCCCCACCCGGACUAUGGCCCCGUGCCCAAGCCCGAACCCAAGCCGAAGCCCCACCCGGACUAUCACCCCGUCCCUCCCACGCCCACUUACGGCGGCGGCGGUGGCGGUGGCGGUGGAUACCACGGACACCACUGA
RNAcentral lists this ribosomal RNA (636 nucleotides) under Triticum aestivum (bread wheat). RNAcentral describes it as "partial small subunit ribosomal RNA". The record is from RNAcentral. Lineage: Eukaryota; Viridiplantae; Streptophyta; Magnoliopsida; Poales; Poaceae.